AGAACGAACGCUGGCGGCAUGCCUAACACAUGCAAGUCGAACGAGACCUUCGGGUCUAGUGGCGCACGGGUGCGUAACGCGUGGGAAUCUGCCCUUGGGUUCGGAAUAACAGCGAGAAAUUGCUGCUAAUACCGGAUGAUGACGUAAGUCCAAAGAUUUAUCGCCCAAGGAUGAGCCCGCGUAGGAUUAGCUUGUUGGUGAGGUAAGAGCUCACCAAGGCGACGAUCCUUAGCUGGUCUGAGAGGAUGAUCAGCCACACGUGGGACUGAGACACGGCCCAGACCUCCGUACGGGAGGCAGCA
This 302-nucleotide ribosomal RNA is filed under the name uncultured soil bacterium. RNAcentral describes it as "bacterial SSU rRNA". It matches the Rfam family "Bacterial small subunit ribosomal RNA", at positions 26 to 353 of the family's 1533-position model. The record is from RNAcentral.